AACGAACGCUGGCGGCAGGCUUAACACAUGCAAGUCGAGCGCAUCCUUCGGGGUGAGCGGCAGACGGGUGAGUAACGCGUGGGAAUCUACCUUUUGCUACGGAAUAGCUCCGGGAAACUGGAAUUAAUACCGUAUGUGCCCUUAGGGGGAAAGAUUUAUCGGCAAGAGAUGAGCCCGCGUUGGAUUAGCUAGUUGGUGGGGUAAAGGCCUACCAAGGCGACGAUCCAUAGCUGGACUGAGAGGAUGAUCAGCCACAUUGGGACUGAGACACGGCCCAAACUCCUACGGGAGGCAGCAGUGGGGAAUAUUGGACAAUGGGCGCAAGCCUGAUCCAGCCAUGCCGCGUGAGUGAUGAAGGCCUUAGGGUUGUAAAGCUCUUUCACCGGAGAAGAUAAUGACGGUAUCCGGAGAAGAAGCCCCGGCUAACUUCGUG
This 433-nucleotide ribosomal RNA is filed under the name uncultured bacterium. RNAcentral's name for it is "partial 16S ribosomal RNA". It matches the Rfam family "Bacterial small subunit ribosomal RNA", at positions 29 to 507 of the family's 1533-position model. The record is from RNAcentral.